GGAGAGAUGACCGAGUGGUUGAAGGUGCACGACUGGAACUCGUGUGUGCGCUAACCGCGCACCGAGGGUUCGAAUCCCUCUCUCUCCGCCA
This 91-nucleotide transfer RNA is filed under the name Gammaproteobacteria bacterium. RNAcentral's name for it is "tRNA-Ser". It matches the Rfam family "tRNA". Rfam says of the family: Transfer RNA (tRNA) molecules are approximately 80 nucleotides in length. Their secondary structure includes four short double-helical elements and three loops (D, anti-codon, and T loops). Lineage: Bacteria; Pseudomonadati; Pseudomonadota; Gammaproteobacteria. The record is from RNAcentral.